Musca domestica (house fly) is the source of this 1135-nucleotide RNA transcript. It is a transcript of the gene named transcription factor Adf-1, with no coding region annotated. Lineage: Eukaryota; Metazoa; Arthropoda; Insecta; Diptera; Muscidae. The transcript has 3 exons. The record is from RefSeq and is a predicted model, not a curated record.
UCAAACCAAUCUUACGGUGGUGAAUUGAAUAAUGUAUAAUGGAGACAUACCAUAACGCCAUGGCCACGGACAUAGACAUCAAUUGAACUUUAGUUUUCUGCCGUAACCAUAACAAAACAAACGAUUGUUUAUUUAUUUGUAAUUAUGCUAUUGUGUUCUGAUAUUGUUAAGUUUUGAUUAAAUAUUUUCGCCUGCACUUCAGUUUACACUUCUUUGAAUGAUUAUCUAGAUAAUGGAUGACAAAAAGCUAAUUGAGUCUGUUCGAAACUGCCCUUGCCUGUAUGAUAAAACCCACAAAGACUUCAAGGAUAGGGAGAAAAAACGACGAGCUUGGAUUGAAGUUGCCAAUAAUUUGGACGUUGAUGAAACUAUAGCUAUGAAACGCUGGGGAAAUUUGAGGGAGCGAUUCAGCAAGGAGAUACGAAAUCCGCAAAACACCUCUGGAAGUGGAAAGCAGUGGGCCCUAUUAGAAAGUCUGCAAUUUCUACGAAGUCAUAUUAUCUCCCGACCUAUAUAUUUUUUUACAGCAUGCGACAAAGUGCCCCAAUAUUGAAAACCGACAUUAAACCAGAUAUUCUUAACGAAUCGUCGUCAUCAUCUUGUGUUUUACCUGUGCAAUCUGUUCAACUUGACUCCGAAGAAUCAACUUCAACGUUUCUAAUGCAAUCAAAUUCAAUUUCGCCCAUUAAGUCUUGGCCAUCAACGUCACGGAUAAAAAAGCGAAAGUCCUCUCUACAGCUUGGCGAAAUGGACACCACUAUAGGGGAGACAGUAAAAACAUUUCAGGAAAUAUCUACACGAAAGGCACACCGAGAAGAAUUUAGUUUGGAGAUAUGCGGUUUUGGUACAAUGAUAUGCUCGGCAAUUUCAAAAAUGAAAAAAUCCACCCAAGCUGCUGUGAUUCGUCGUUGCACGGAUAUUGUUAUGCAGGCGCAGAUUGACGAAGACCAACGGGAAUGAAAAAAAAAAAAAAUAUUUAAUUAUAAUGCAUUGUAAUUAUAUUCAUAGAAAUUAUCUCUGAUGCUGAAAUCAAAGUACAAAUAAUAUAGUCAUAAAAUGAACCACUACUACAUUAUAUAUGUAAUAACCUAUUAAAUUUAAGAAUUAAAUACAGUGGAAUAUGAAUUUUGAAAUA